Molecule: ribosomal RNA, 2627 nt
Filed under: Castanea mollissima (Chinese chestnut)
Lineage: Eukaryota; Viridiplantae; Streptophyta; Magnoliopsida; Fagales; Fagaceae
Description: bacterial LSU rRNA
Rfam family: Bacterial large subunit ribosomal RNA
Source: RNAcentral
AGUACAAUAUGUGGCAGAAAAAUUACAAUUAAAAAAGUAUAAUAACAUGAGAAAAAGGGCCUUAGAGUAGUAAAUGGGGUCGUAAUAGUAUAUUUAAUACCUAAGAGAAAUCAAAAAAAUAAACAACGAAGUGAAUUGAAAUAUCUUAGUAACUUCAGGAAAACAAAUCAAAAGAGAUUCUAUAUACAGUGUGAAUGAAAAUAGAACAAGAGCCAACAAAUAAAAAUAAGUAAAGCGGGCUAGAGCCUGUUUGAAUAAAGGGGAUCCUUCCUCUAAGGCUAAAUAUGGUACAUAAGCGAUAGUGAAAAAGUACUGUGAAGGAAAUAUAUCGAAGAGUAAUUUUAUAAGCAGCUCAAAUAGCAAUUAAAAAAAUAGGAGAGUGUACCUUUUGUAUAAUGGGUCAGCAAGUUAAUAAUAUAUGCGAGCGAAAGCGAAGGAAACCCAAUUAUAAUGUAAUAAGAAGUAUUUAUUAUUAGACCCGAAGGCUAGUGAUAUUACCACAAUCAGAAGUAAAGUUCGAACGGUUUAUCGUUGUAAAGAUAUCCGAUGAAUUGUGGUAAGUGAGUGAAAGACAAUUCUGACUAGUAUAGCUGGUUUUCUGCGAAACCUAUUUAAGUAGGCGGUUCAAAAAUUAUCAAGGAAGGUACAGCAAUGUGAUCAUACUAUUCAGCUAAGAAAUUAACUUAAUAUUAUUGAGGGGAUGUGAAAGUCUUACGAUUAUGUAUUUGUGCUCGAAAGGGCUUUGAUAAAAUUAGAACUAUCAGACAUAGUACGAUAAGGUUGUAUGUCAAAAGGGAAACAGCCCAGAACAAAAGUUAAUAAGGUUCCAAAAUUAUUAUUAAGUGAAAUUAAGGAAGUAUCUAUCGAUCACGACGAGGAAGUAGGCUUAGAGGCGGCCAUCUUUUCAAGAUCUCGUAACAGAGCACUAGUUUAAAUAGGUAGAAGCAUCGAAAAUAUAACGGAUCUAAAAUAAUAUACCGAAACUUUGUCCAUAUAUAAUAGAAUAUAUAUGGGGUAGCAGAACAUAGAGUAAAUUACAUAAAAGAUGCCCUAAGGGCAUUAAUAGUAAGAUAAAUAGCGAGGACUACUUUAGUAAUAACUCUAGUGAUAAUGCUGACAUUAGUAACGAUAAGAGACUGACAAUAAAGUCUCCGCCUUAAGCUUAUGGGAUUAUAUAAUUUAACGGCCUCUAAGUAAAUAUAUUAGUAAAACCUAAUGGAAAAAACGAUGAGUAAAAUAUGCUAAAAAGUCAAAAUAAGACAAUAUAUAGUGUAUAUUGUUCAAGAAAACCAAUUAGCACUCUUCUAACCGUAGGAUGAAAGGGUUAAAAUAAUAUUUUAUGAGAAGACUAUAUCAUAAAAUAAAUUUAACCGCACAAGGGGAGGUAGGACGAUAAAUUCCCCAAAGUUAGAUAGAGAAAAAAAUGAAAUAAACCGUACCUAAAAACUACCACGAGUAAGCUAGUAGAGUAUACGAAGGCGUUUGAGUGAACAAUUAUUAAGGAACUCGGCAAAUUGACUCCGUAACUUAGGGAGAAGGUGGGCCACUGAAUCUUGAUUAAUAUCAAGUAAAGAGGAGGAGGCACAAAAUGGUGUUGUACGACUGUUUAAUUAAAACAAAGCACUUUGCAAAAAAGGAAAUUUGAUGUAUUGAGUGUGAGCUCUGCCAAAUGCUGGCAGGAUAUAGUAUUUUUGCCUUACGAAGACCAAGAGUAGAAAGGAUUUGAUAGAAUCCCCAGUCAAUGGCGGCCUUACCGAUGAGGGUCCUAAGGUAGCGGAAUACCCUGGCCGUUAAAUGCGGUCUUGCAUAAAAUUAGUUUGGGGUAGCUAAUUCAAUUAAUAUUAACUCUAUAAUUGAGAGUUGGCCUUUAGGCAAGGAUCGACUAUUGUGUGUUAGUGCGCAAACUCCGGGAAACCCCUAAAGCUAUUAAUACCAAGCACCGUCCGAAAGUACGGUAGUGGCUCGAUUAAUCACCGUAGGUAUGGUAAUAAGUUAAUAGAUAUACGUGAGUAUAAUGGGAAAUCGCGGAUCUAAAUCAGCAAAAGAACUUGCUGUAAAAGAGCAACGAGCAGACGCCACUUCACGUAUAGGACGUGUACAGUGUGCUCUAGUCACCACGAAAGUGGCGCAAACCUGAACAAAAGUAAGGUUGCUUAAUGAUACGGGGGUAGCCAGAUCUCAACGUAAAAGUAGACAAAGCCCCUAUAGACGGAAUGAUUUAACGAUACAACAGCUGUCUCAAUAAUUGGCUCAGUGAAAUUGGAAUAGCUGUGAAGAUACAGUUUACCUCUAGAUAGACGAGAAGACCCUAUGCAGCUUUACUGCGACUAGUUACAGGGUGUAAUUGAUGGGUUUUAGCGUAUAAGGUAAUAGAUUAAAUGAAAUUGGAACACCUUUACAUGAUUGAUUACAUUUACCACUCUUUAUAAAUAAGGAGAUCAAUUGCUAGGGGGCAGUUUAUGCGGGGCACAGAUCCCAUAAAUAGUAACUGGGAAUAUCUAAAAUUAACCUGGUACACAUCCAGUAUACAAUUUAAUUAUCGUAUAUUGCAUAUAUUGAUUUAUUGAUGUUAACACGUAAUCAGAGAGAUUGAUUAUCAUUCUCCUAAUCCUAUAUAAUUCUAUUUA